This 457-nucleotide ribosomal RNA is filed under the name uncultured bacterium. Its description in RNAcentral is "partial 16S ribosomal RNA". It matches the Rfam family "Bacterial small subunit ribosomal RNA", at positions 338 to 792 of the family's 1533-position model. The record is from RNAcentral.
CCUACGGGUGGCAGCAGUGAGGAAUCUUGGUCAAUGGGCGCAAGCCUGAACCAGCCAAGUAGCGUGAAGGAUGACUGCCCUACGGGUUGUAAACUUCUUUUAUAAAGGAAUAAAGUGAGACACGUGUGCCUUUUUGUAUGUACUUUCUGAAUAAGGAGCGGCUAACUACGUACCAGCAGCCGCUGUAAUAAGGAGGAUCCGAGCGUUAUCCGGAUUUAUUGGGUUUAAAGGCAGCGUAGAUGGGUUGUUAAGUCAGUUGUGAAAGUUUGCGGCUCAACCGUAAAAUUGCAAUUGAUACUGGCAGUCGUGAGUACAGUGGAGGUAGGCGGAAUUCGGUGUGUAGUGGUGAAAUGCUUAGAUAGCACGAAGAACUCCGAUUGCGAAGGCAGCUUACUAAACUGCCACUGACAUUGAUGCUCGAAAGUGUGGGUAUCAAACAGGAUUAGAUACCCGAGUC